AGCCCAAAUGGAUAUUUUGAUUGGAUUAUUACCAUUUCUAAGGAACAAACAAAAACCAACAAUUGUGAGAGUGCAUCGAUCAAUUGCACAAACCAAUCCAACAAAGGUCCAUGAAAGAACUAAGAAGAGUGCCACUUUGAGUAGGAAAAUAAAACCAUGAUAUUAUUGUGCCAUUCCAUCGCCAAAUAGCUCGUUCCUUCAGAACAUUAAGCCAAAUCUCAAAACAAAGCAAUGCUCUGAGAAAAGCUGCUAAAAAACUAUUGACAACAGCAAUGAAGUUGGCAAUAGCAAACA
This 294-nucleotide unclassified non-coding RNA is filed under the name Hevea brasiliensis (rubber tree). The record is from RNAcentral. Lineage: Eukaryota; Viridiplantae; Streptophyta; Magnoliopsida; Malpighiales; Euphorbiaceae.